This 505-nucleotide long non-coding RNA is filed under the name Rosa chinensis. RNAcentral's name for it is "sRNA RchiOBHm_Chr6g0250701". Lineage: Eukaryota; Viridiplantae; Streptophyta; Magnoliopsida; Rosales; Rosaceae. The record is from RNAcentral.
CCCUUGCAGCCGCGUCCUACUCUCUCUCUCUCCUGACCUCUCUCUCCUCUUCCCUAUGCUACAACCGCAAACUAUCAUCUCCGGCCACCACCUUGCAACACCGCCUCCACCCUUCGAACCAGCACCCAAAUCCGACCAAAACCCGAACCCAGCACCAUCGUCUUCGACCUCUUCACGCGACCACCAAAAACCCCGGCACCACUGCCCUUCCUCCUCCGUCGAUUUCUGACCAUCACCUUGCCACAAUGACGUCGCUGCCUGACUUAGCAAGCAACGAGGAGCAAAACCCAGAAGUUCCGCCACCCACCGAAGCCGGACAAGCCUGCACGAGCGCCGCCGGAAUCUCUUCUUCUGUUGAGAUCGAUUCACCAUUCUCCGGCCUCGCCUGAGCAACACCACCUCCAGAAAUAGGAUCAACGUCGCGUCAAUUUCCAAAACCACCAAAUCAAGACCUCCGAUUCUGACCAGAGCCACCACCACCGUGGACGCCGCAGUGAGCGUCACC